Chelonoidis abingdonii (Abingdon island giant tortoise) is the source of this 106-nucleotide non-coding RNA. Lineage: Eukaryota; Metazoa; Chordata; Testudines; Testudinidae. The record is from RefSeq and is a predicted model, not a curated record.
UUGCCACCCAGGAAGCACUCUCCACUCCAGGUUCUCCAAUUCAUUCAUGAUGCAGAGCUGAAGGGUGCUUUUCCUAAUGGGUGGAUAGCUUUGAGGAUUCUGCUCA